This 366-nucleotide ribosomal RNA is filed under the name uncultured eukaryote. RNAcentral describes it as "partial 18S ribosomal RNA". It matches the Rfam family "Eukaryotic small subunit ribosomal RNA", at positions 592 to 976 of the family's 1831-position model. The record is from RNAcentral.
CAAUAGCGUAUAUUAAAGUUGUUGCAGUUAAAAAGCUCGUAGUUGAAUUUCUGGCGGGCGCGCCGGUCUUCCAAGUGUUGUACUGGGCGCAGUCCGCCAUCCUUGUGGAGAGGGCUCGCAUUGAGUUGCGUGUCGGAUCUGCAUCAUUUACUGUGAAAAAAUUAGAGUGUUUAAAGCAGGCUGUCGCUUGAAUACAUUAGCAUGGAAUAAUAAGAUAGGACUUCGGUCUAUUUUGUUGGUUGCGAACCGAGGUAAUGAUUAAUAGGGACAGUUGGGGGUAUUCGUAUUGCAUUGUCAGAGGUGAAAUUCUUGGAUCUUUGCAAGACGAACGACUGCGAAAGCAUUUACCAAGGAUGUUUUCAUUAA